AUUGAACGCUGGCGGCAUGCUUUACACAUGCAAGUCGGACGGCAGCACAGAGAAGCUUGCUUCUUGGGUGGCGAGUGGCGAACGGGUGAGUAACAUAUCGGAACGUACCGAGCAGUGGGGGAUAACUAAUCGAAAGAUUAGCUAAUACCGCAUAUCUUCUGAGGAAGAAAGCAGGGGACCAUUUGGCCUUGCGCUGUUUGAGCGGCCGAUAUCUGAUUAGCUAGUUGGUGGGGUAAAGGCCUACCAAGGCGACGAUCAGUAGCGGGUCUGAGAGGAUGAUCCGCCACACUGGGACUGAGACACGGCCCAGACUCCUACGGGAGGCAGCAGUGGGGAAUUUUGGACAAUGGGCGCAAGCCUGAUCCAGCCAUGCCGCGUGUCUGAAGAAGGCCUUCGGGUGGUAAAGGACUUUUGUCAGGGAAGAAAAGGGCGGGGUUAAUACCCCUGUCUGAUGACGGUACCUGAAGAAUAAGCACCGGCUAACUACGUG
This 490-nucleotide ribosomal RNA is filed under the name uncultured bacterium. RNAcentral describes it as "partial 16S ribosomal RNA". It matches the Rfam family "Bacterial small subunit ribosomal RNA", at positions 30 to 507 of the family's 1533-position model. The record is from RNAcentral.